RNAcentral lists this ribosomal RNA (617 nucleotides) under uncultured Syntrophobacterales bacterium. RNAcentral's name for it is "bacterial SSU rRNA". It matches the Rfam family "Bacterial small subunit ribosomal RNA", at positions 35 to 638 of the family's 1533-position model. Lineage: Bacteria; Pseudomonadati; Thermodesulfobacteriota; Syntrophobacteria; Syntrophobacterales. The record is from RNAcentral.
GCUGGCGGCGUGCUUAUACAUGCAAGUCGAACGUGAAAUCCGCUUUCGGGCGGAGAGUAAAGUGGCGCACGGGUGAGUAACGCGUGGAUAAUCUACCCUGAGGCCCGGGAUAACUCGCCGAAAGGCGGGCUAAUACCGGAUAAUGUCCCAUUACCCAAGUAAUGUGACCAUAGGAGGCCCUGCUUCCGCCACAGGAUGAGUCCGCGUACCAUUAGCUAGUUGGUAGGGUAAAGGCCUACCAAGGCUACGAUGGUUAGCUGGUCUGAGAGGACGAUCAGCCACACUGGAACUGAGACACGGUCCAGACCCCUACGGGAGGCAGCAGUAGGGAAUAUUGCGCAAUGGGGGAAACCCUGACGCAGCGACGCCGCGUGAGCGAUGAAGGCCUUCGGGUCGUAAAGCUCUGUCAGGUGGGAAGAACCCUCCGUCGAUGAAUAAUCGGCGGAGCUGACGGUACCACCAGAGGAAGCACCGGCUAACUCCGUGCCAGCAGCCGCGGUAACACGGAGGGUGCAAGCGUUGUUCGGAAUCACUGGGCGUAAAGGACGCGCAGGCGGCCCGGUAAGUCGGAAGUGAAAUCCGUCGGCUCAACCGACGAACGGCUUCCGAUACUGCCG